CCAGCAGCUGCGGUAAUUCCAGCUCUAAUAGCGUAUAUUAAAGUUGUUGCAGUUAAAAAGCUCGUAGUUGGAUUUCGGGUGGGUUUCAGCGGUCCGCCUAUGGUGAGUACUGCUGAGGCCCUCCUUUCUGUCAAGGACGGGCUCCUGGGCUUCACUGUCUGGGACUCGGAUUUGGCGAUGUCACUUUGAGUAAAUUAGAGUGUUCAAAGCAAGCUUACGCUCUGAAUACUUUAGCAUGGAAUGACACGAUAGGACUCUGGCCUAUCUUGUUGGUCUGUAGGACCGGAGUAAUGAUUAAGAGGGACAGUCGGGGGCAUUCGUAUUUCAUUGUCAGAGGUGAAAUUCUUGGAUUUAUGAAAGACGAACUACUGCGAAAGCAUUUGCCAAGGAUGUUUUCAUUAAUCAAGAACGAAAGU
RNAcentral lists this ribosomal RNA (416 nucleotides) under uncultured eukaryote. RNAcentral's name for it is "SSU rRNA". It matches the Rfam family "Eukaryotic small subunit ribosomal RNA", at positions 567 to 990 of the family's 1831-position model. The record is from RNAcentral.